UACGUAGGGUGCAAGCGUUGUCCGGAAUUAUUGGGCGUAAAGAGCUUGUAGGCGGUUUGUCGCGUCUGCUGUGAAAUUUCGGGGCUCAACCCCGAACUUGCAGUGGGUACGGGCAGACUAGAGUGCGGUAGGGGAGACUGGAAUUCCUGGUGUAGCGGUGAAAUGCGCAGAUAAUCAGGAGGAACACCGAUGGCGAAGGCAGCUCGCUGGGACGGUACUGACGCUGAGGCGCGAAAGCGUGGGGAGCGAACAGG
Molecule: ribosomal RNA, 254 nt
Filed under: uncultured bacterium
Lineage: Bacteria
Description: partial 16S ribosomal RNA
Rfam family: Bacterial small subunit ribosomal RNA
Source: RNAcentral